Molecule: long non-coding RNA, 848 nt
Organism: Topomyia yanbarensis
Lineage: Eukaryota; Metazoa; Arthropoda; Insecta; Diptera; Culicidae
Exons: 3
Source: RefSeq, a predicted model, not a curated record
UAACUUGACUGUCAGUUUUGAGUUUGUAACUGUUGUAUUGUAAACAAUAUUCGCAUUCGAGAUGCUGUAUUAGGCAAACAAUUUGAUUAUCCGAUUGCAAUAUAUCUAUUAUCAAACCAUAGAACAUUUCGUUGCAUACUUGGUAUUUCGCUAUCAGUCCCGGCCGAAAGCUUGUGUUAUUUAUUUUCAUAUGGUUUAUAUAUUUGAUUGAAUCUGGUAGAUCCCGGAUCAGGAGUAAAUUACUUAGAGAUUUUUUGUGUAUGUGCUUUGACGAAACGAUAUCUACCGUACCAAUUUCGUAUGAAUGGUCAAGGAUAGUGGUUAUCUGUGCUAGAUUCAGGAGCUUAGCAAAGCUGUUUGUUAAAUUGAUGAAAUUGUUGCAUGUCUUCGCUUGGGAUUUCGACUCCUUGAAUUUCGCUUCGAAGCGUAAGCAACUAUGAUUAACAACUGGCCCAUCCUGACGAAUUAUGUAGGGAUAAUGAGAGAUGUGAUGGAAUUUAUUGAUCGUUAAUCUGAUUCAAUGUUAGCUUAUUGGAGAAACUAUAAUAAGUUAUUUUCAUGAGAGCUCUAAGCAAUGAUGAUAAAUUUGAAUUAAAUCCGAGAAUCUGGUUGAACAUAAAAGGGAAUGCUCGAAGGAGAAGCCAACAUUGCGAAGCUGACUGAGGAAUAGCAUGUCCACGUGCUUCUAACUUCUCGCAAGUAAAAUUAGCGUUUGAGGACUGGAAAGCAUCGGUCCAUUUCAUCACAAAUAUGUUCUGCUACUGAUGCCGAUGCAAGCAUUACUCGGAGCAAUUGAGCCCGCUCUACAAGUUCAGUUGAAACGGACUCUUCUACAGGCAUAGUUCCUC